GCGAGUGUGGUGGAAUCGGCAUACACAGCAGACUUAAAAUCUGCCGCGCAAGCAUGCGGGUUCAAAUCCCGCCACUCGCACCA
RNAcentral lists this transfer RNA (83 nucleotides) under Clostridia bacterium. RNAcentral describes it as "tRNA-Leu". It matches the Rfam family "tRNA". Rfam says of the family: Transfer RNA (tRNA) molecules are approximately 80 nucleotides in length. Their secondary structure includes four short double-helical elements and three loops (D, anti-codon, and T loops). Further hydrogen bonds mediate the characteristic L-shaped molecular structure. tRNAs have two regions of fundamental functional importance: the anti-codon, which is responsible for specific mRNA codon recognition, and the 3' end, to which the tRNAs corresponding amino acid is attached (by aminoacyl-tRNA synthetases). tRNAs cope with the degeneracy of the genetic code in two manners: having more than one tRNA (with a specific anti-codon) for a particular amino acid; and 'wobble' base-pairing, i.e. permitting non-standard base-pairing at the 3rd anti-codon position. The record is from RNAcentral. Lineage: Bacteria; Bacillati; Bacillota; Clostridia.